This 497-nucleotide ribosomal RNA is filed under the name uncultured bacterium. RNAcentral's name for it is "partial 16S ribosomal RNA". It matches the Rfam family "Bacterial small subunit ribosomal RNA", at positions 28 to 507 of the family's 1533-position model. The record is from RNAcentral.
GAUGAACGCUGGCGGCGUGCCUAAUACAUGCAAGUCGAGCGAACAGACGAGGAGCUUGCUCCUCUGACGUUAGCGGCGGACGGGCGAGUAACACGUGGAUAACCUACCUAUAAGACUGGGAUAACUUCGGGAAACCGGAGCUAAUACCGGAUAAUAUAUUGAACCGCAUGGUUCAAUAGUGAAAGACGGUUUUGCUGUCACUUAUAGAUGGAUCCGCGCCGCAUUAGCUAGUUGGUAAGGUAACGGCUUACCAAGGCGACGAUGCGUAGCCGACCUGAGAGGGUGAUCGGCCACACUGAAACUGAGACACGGUCCAGACUCCUACGGGAGGCAGCAGUAGGGAAUCUUCCGCAAUGGGCGAAAGCCUGACGGAGCAACGCCGCGUGAGUGAUGAAGGUCUUCGGAUCGUAAAACUCUGUUAUUAGGGAAGAACAAAUGUGUAAGUAACUAUGCACGUCUUGACGGUACCUAAUCAGAAAGCCACGGCUAACUACGUG